GUGCGUCAGGACACGCUGGCGGCGUGCCUAAUACAUAGCAAGUCGAACGGCUUUUCUAUGGAAGCUUGCUUCCACUGAGAAGAUAGUGGCGAACGGGUGAGUAACACGUGGGUAACCUGCCCAUAAGAGGGGGGAUAACAUCCGGAAACGGUAGCUAAUACCGCAUAGUUUUCUUGAUCGCAUGAUUGAGAAAGGAAAGACGGCCUUUGUGCUGUCGCUUAUGGAUGGACCCGCGGCGUAUUAGUUAGUUGGUGAGGUAACGGCUCACCAAGACGAUGAUACGUAGCCGACCUGAGAGGGUGAUCGGCCACAUUGGGACUGAGACACGGCCCAAACUCCUACGGGAGGCAGCAGUAGGGAAUCUUCCGCAAUGGACGAAAGUCUGACGGAGCAACGCCGCGUGAGUGAAAGAAGGUUUUCGGAUCGUAAAACUCUGUUGUCAGAGAAGAACAAGUUGGAGAGUAACUGCUCCAGCCUUGACGGUAUCUGACCAGAAAGCCACGGCUAACCACGUGCCAGCCGCGGC
Molecule: ribosomal RNA, 526 nt
Filed under: uncultured bacterium
Lineage: Bacteria
Description: bacterial SSU rRNA
Rfam family: Bacterial small subunit ribosomal RNA
Source: RNAcentral